UACGAGGGGGGCAAGCGUUGUUCGGAAUUAUUGGGCGUAAAGGGUGCGUAGGCUGUGCGGUAAGUCACCUGUGAAAACUCUGGGCUCAACCCAGAGCCUGCAGGCGAAACUGCCGUGCUGGAGUAUGGGAGAGGUGCGUGGAAUUCCCGGUGUAGCGGUGAAAUGCGUAGAGAUCGGGAAGAACGCCAAGGGCGAAGGCACUCUGCUAGGCCUGAUUUCGCGACUGACACUCAGGGACGAGAGCCAGGGGAGCGAAUGGG
Molecule: ribosomal RNA, 260 nt
Filed under: uncultured prokaryote
Description: partial 16S ribosomal RNA
Rfam family: Bacterial small subunit ribosomal RNA
Source: RNAcentral